This 456-nucleotide ribosomal RNA is filed under the name uncultured bacterium. Its description in RNAcentral is "bacterial SSU rRNA". It matches the Rfam family "Bacterial small subunit ribosomal RNA", at positions 29 to 506 of the family's 1533-position model. The record is from RNAcentral.
UUGAACGCUGGCGGAAUGCUUUACACAUGCAAGUCGAACGGUGACGCACCUUCGGGUGCUGAUCAGUGGCGAACGGGUGAGUAACACGUGGGCAACCUGCCCCUGGCUCUGGGAUAACCCCUCGAAAGAGGAGCUAAUACCGGAUAUCAUCGCACCUGGCAUCGGGUGCGGUCGAAAGAAUUUUGGCCAGGGAUGGGCCCGCGGCCUAUCAGCUUGUUGGUGGGGUAACGGCCCACCAAGGCGACGACGGGUAGCCGGCCUGAGAGGGCGACCGGCCACACUGGGACUGAGAUACGGCCCAGACUCCUACGGGAGGCAGCAGUGGGGAAUAUUGCGCAAUGGGCGAAAGCCUGACGCAGCAACGCCGCGUGAGGGACGAAGGCCUUUGGGUUGUAAACCUCUUUCAGCAGGGACGAAAAUGACUGUACCUGCAGAAGAAGCGCCGGCUAACUACGU